Siniperca chuatsi (mandarin fish) is the source of this 4841-nucleotide long non-coding RNA. RefSeq lists it as uncharacterized. Lineage: Eukaryota; Metazoa; Chordata; Actinopteri; Centrarchiformes; Sinipercidae. The record is from RefSeq and is a predicted model, not a curated record. The transcript is spliced from 2 exons.
UCGACAGGAAACUGUCUUGCUGCUGAAGCUACAGAGGUACAAGAGAUAUUUAAUUCAUGUGCACUUCAAAAUCUGAUUGUAAUUUAUUCUUAGUGCACUACCUCUCCAAAAAAAAAAAAAAAAAAAAACUGUUUUGUUGCCUGUUGCGUUCUAGAGGGUCGGUCCUAGUUCAUAUGGUGUGCACAGGUUGUUCUUAAGCGCGGCUGUAACUGUAAGCCGCAUUGAACAGAUGUCCCCAUUGAAGGCUUUCUUCUCCUACACACAUGGGCUAUAUUACCAUCAUGAAAUCAAUCUCAAAACCUGUCCCUUUCGCAACCAUAAUGACCGAGUUAUUCUGGGCCGCUGAGCACGAACAAAGUGUGUUCAAUAUUGCGUGCUCCAGAAUCACUCCGCUUAGAGAACCGGGAGAAAAGGAGUCAAGCCAGAGAUGUAGAAAUAUACUUUAAUGUGGAGGUUUACAAAGCAACGCGAUAAUCUGAAGGCCUUCCUAUCAAAGAUUAUCACUUGGGUAUCACUUGUCGCUUUCACCAGCAAUUAGAAGACCGCUGUUGCUCAGGGUGCAUAUUGUCAUAAUUACUCACUCAGUUUUUCUGCAGUUAUUUUUUAAAUAGAAAUAUAUAGGGUACAUAAUUAAAACUCUGGUAUUAACUUCUAACAAUUAAGACACAGACAGUCCUUUAUUAAAUUUAGUACAUUGUUAUUAGAGGAGAUAGAUAGAUAGAUAGAUAGAUAGAUAGAUAGAUAGAUAGAUAGAUAGAUAGAUAGAUAGAUAGAUAGAUAGAUAGAUAGAUGUGACCUUUGCAUCAAAAUGUUGUUUCUGUCCUAACAGACACUGUGUAACUGUAUGCAGUAAAGUAUGCAGUGCAGAGAUUGGGAGAGCAGGGUAUGUUGGUUGUUGUUUUCUCUUUUUCACCAGGAGGUUGGAAAGAGCAGAUGUCCGUCUGCACUGUGAGCUGCCAAGUGGGUCCGGAGCGGGGCAGCCACAGACACAAGGGCCCAAAUGGUGUGACAAAAGAUGUGCAGGAAGUCCCUCUCCGCCUGGGUGAGCCACAGAGAGGGUCUCCCCUCUCUGCCAGCCUGCAGGGACACUCACAACACGAGCCAGAGUGGUGGCAGCAAAGCCAUGUGUUACCGGCUGGGAUGCAUGGCACAUAACUUCACAACACGCCUCCUCACAGCAGUCCUGUAAAAUGGUUUUGUGGUGAAAGGGCUCCAUGGUGUUGUCAGGUGACAUUGUUGGCAUACUUGUUUCCUGCACCCUCAGGGACAGAAGCAGCAAACACAAGGGAUGAGUGAGCCGCCUAGUGUUGUCUACCUGUCUGAUUUACUGUCCUGCUGUGUUUGAAGUAGGACAGGCGGAAUUCACUUCACUCUGGUUCUUUGUGAUCAGUCCUCCCAGAUUACAGCCCAGGUGAGGCCCCUCGCCAUCAACCACAGGAUAUAGGAAGUACCUGUCUCUCAUAGCCCCUGGACAUUGCCCCUGAACUAGCUUUCCUAAUGUCAGCCUAUGUAACAUUGCACUUAUGUUUCAAUGUACAAGACCCCUCUGCUUAUACAUGAUGACUUAUACGAGCAUUUACUAACUUUACACAAGCCACAAUGUGGUGAUAUCACAAGCCACGAUGGGUUAAAAUAAUCACGUAGCAUGAGAUAGCCUGGAGCUGGGGCACUGUGGUGUUUUAACCUGUUGUGGACCCAGACAGCACAGCAUGAGCCUGGCGUCAACAGUGUUUUCUUUGUCAGACCUGUUCAGCCCAUGGAAACACAAGCCAACACUUGUGAUGUGUUUGGCUGUAGCUCUUUUUGACAACAAACUUUUUGACAACAGCAACAGUCACUGCUGCUGACACCAAAAUCGUCUAUGUUUAAAUGUUAGCAUAUUGUUUAUGUUUCAGUAUUGACUGUUGGUGCCAGCGUGGGAACAGUCUGAACCGAUAAAGACCAGUUUAUCAUUUCAUAACACUGCUUUAUCGAAGUUCAGUGACUAUAGGCCCUGCAGACUACAUAUGGCUGUACAUGUAUGCAUCAAAACAGCCUUCCUAGUGUUUACAGAGCAUCAAGGCAUGCUAAAUAUUUCUGUAUUUUUCAAUUCCCCAGUCUUCCCACCUAAUCAGCGACCAGUGUAUAUGAGCUUCAGGACAGAGUGAUGUUGGCAUGGUGUGGCUGAUUAGAGUCAAUCAGCAGGGGAUGAAACCAACAUUGCCUUCAAAACAACCACACAGACAGAGGUCUGGAAUUUCUCCUCUCGGCACAUCAGCUAAUGGUGUAGCCAAAUUUUCAUAGACCAAAUGACAGCUUGAUUGUGAGCAACAUGUUCAUGUGGAAUUGGGAUGCUGAUUUGGUGCUGUUAGAGGGGAUCCAGAGAGGAAAAAGGCAGAAUAUAAUCAGCACCUCUAAAAGUUAAACAGAACAUCAGCAUCAAAGAAAAUGAUUGGUGGAGAUAUUGUUAGGGAGCUGAUAUAUCCCAAGAACAAAAAUAGAUGCCUUAAAUCUGACAUUUUGUCGCGCAGCACAAUCAGACUGUUGAAUCAACAACAUUUUGUAUGAUCAUUAUAUAAAUCUGAGACAUUGGUAGAAGUUGAUAUUUCGAUAGGAUUAUGCCAAGUGCAUGCAGGGAAGACAGUCUCAUUUAAUUGAUCAGCGAUCUUGGAGAACCAAUGAAAACACUGUAACCAAAAGGAAAACUAGGGUAAGUACAUAACUUUGUACAGUUAAAAUGUUGUUGUUAUUAUUGUUAUGUUGUGUUUCACAUGCUCCUGAAAACAUAAAAUUCCAUAGAAAUCCAUUUCUGUUAAAUAAACUCAUGCCACACAUCUCCCACUGUCGGAAUAUCUAGAAAAUAACACUGAAUAAUAAUAAAAAAUAAUCAAGUAAUCUACACUUCUGGUAUUCACAGUUUUAUGACUUGCCACAUUUUUUUCUUUCUUAUACUUUCUUUCUUGCUUUUGCUCAUACAUUCACACCCACACAAUGGACGUUAUUUGCAGCAGAGCGUCGGAUUGUGCAAGAUGUAUUUUGAUAACAGGACAAAUUAGGCUGUCAUAUGAAGGGUGAAGACUAGUGAUUUUCUAACACUGUAGCAACAGUAAUGAGGUGGCUGUUGGCUUGUGUCAUCUUGGCAUGACCAAGUCUUUGACCGUGUAUGCCAUGACUGUUUUGAAAUACUAUUUUUAGAAUCCACUUGCUUACCGUAUGACCGUUACAUAUUUGCACAUCACUUACGAUUGAUUGAAACAAUUACAUUUCCUAAAUCACUCAGUUAGUUAAUCUGCUUUUUCUCAAACCAAAGCUAUUGCAUUUUUCUUUUAAUUUAGCUAAAAUAAUGUCUCUCAAUAGCACAAUGAGUACAAAAAUAUUGUCUUUUUGACUGUGAUAAGGUCAAGGGUCAAAUUCACAAUAAGAAAUGAGAUUUCAGAUGCAAAAACAGUCUUUCAUUUGACAAUAAAGUGAAUGACUGCUGUGAAAUAAACAUCACUACAGUGACUUGCAUUACCAUGUGUCAGAUAAGAGACUUUCAAGUGUCUUUGGAGAACUAAAUAAGUGCUAUUGAUAUUUUAGCAUUUCAAUGGCCACCUUAACUCUCAAAGCUGGCAUUGUUUUCAUUUAAGUCUCAGGCCUUUGCUGCUGGUAUCAGUUGAGUUCCCCAUUGAAGAGGAAAUCAGAAGAAACCAACAUUUAAAUGAGGAAUAAGAGGCUUCUGUGUGUCAAGAGCUAAAAGGAGCUGUUUUUGUCUUGCAUCACUGUAUUGCCAUUUUAAAGAAUUACUUCAAGGGAAAACAAAGUAAUGGUGACAGCACUCACAUUGUGCAGCUAAUGAAUAUUGUUUUCUCAUAAAAAGGACUGACCUCUCUCAAUUUAUUUCUGCAUAAUUGAUAUCUGUGCCUUGUUGAUUGAUACUUGAUAAAGAAAGGUGCACAUGAAGUAAUAAAUAAAUACAUUUGUUUAAUUUUUUUAAGCACAUUCCACUCCGCCUCAUCUAGUUUUCAGUUAAAACAAAGGUUCACAAACUUUCUGAGACCCAAAAAAUCAAUUCCCAUGAGGUCAUUGUAGGUCAAGUUUUGAUUAUGUAGAAUGACUCUCAUUUCCAUUGUAUCAAAAAGAUUUUUGUAGUUGUCAGUUUAAUAUCAUAUUGGAGGUUGAUGACUAUUUCACAAUAGAACAGUGUUUAUUUAUUAUUGAUUUAUUUAUUUUAAUGUAUAUUAACUAAUGUAUCUCUUUUAAAAAAGACACAGUAAAAUGUGUCUUUUAACUGUAUCAUAUUUUUUGAGAUGCAAUGUAUUCUUUGCAGAUCUGUGAGGUCAGCUUCAUCAGUAUCAACUGUUCCAACUGUGUAUGAACUUACAGUGGAUUGACAAAUCUUUGUGUGGGGUUCUUGAGGCAGCAGUGAGUCCCAAAUUGAAUUACAUGCACAUUUCUCAGCCACAAAGGGGAGCCAUCACUAAUUAAAACCAUGUGAUUGAUGACACUGACGCUUCAUGCCAAAGGAGGAUAAAUCACUCUCACAGUCACUUUGCUGCAUUGGUUCCUGUCUCCACACCGUAAGCUACUGUAAGUUCAACACUUCCUCAGCGGAGGAGAAUAAACGACCGAAAGAGCACAGCGUUGUUGCUGGUGGUUUGUUUUUAAUGUUUAUUUGUGCAUUAUGUCCUUAAGUCUUUAGCUUCUUAGUCACAUAUGUGAAAUAAUCUGAGGAAACAAUGUCACUUGUGAAGGCCAACAUCGGUAUAUGAAUCUCUGUCUAAUGUAUAUGAAUUUGUCCUUCUAUGAACAUACAGUACAUGCUCUUCAUUAUGUUUAACCGAGUGAAACUUUGACCUAUUAAAAGGUAAGCUGUCAACCUA